UACGAAGGGGGCUAGCGUUGCUCGGAAUCACUGGGCGUAAAGGGUGCGUAGGCGGGUCUUUAAGUCAGGGGUGAAAUCCUGGAGCUCAACUCCGGAACUGCCUUUGAUACUGAGGAUCUUGAGUUCGGGAGAGGUGAGUGGAACUGCGAGUGUAGAGGUGAAAUUCGUAGAUAUUCGCAAGAACACCAGUGGCGAAGGCGGCGAUCUGGGUCGAUACUGACGCUGAGGUGCGAAAGCGUGGGGAGCAAACAGG
This 253-nucleotide ribosomal RNA is filed under the name uncultured bacterium. RNAcentral's name for it is "partial 16S ribosomal RNA". It matches the Rfam family "Bacterial small subunit ribosomal RNA", at positions 524 to 776 of the family's 1533-position model. The record is from RNAcentral.